UUACUCCAGUUGUGGACAGGAACAAUAUUUAAAAGUUUAUUCGCACACAUAAUUCGCACUUAAGUAAAAUCUCGUCGGUGUCCGUGUAAGAGGAUUUCAUGUGAGAGCGAACAAUCAUCGAAUUCUCUUUAAACAAAGGCAAGGCCGAUUUUUUUUUCAGUUCUGGCAUCAUUGUGGAGUAUAAAUGCCAAUGCGAGGAAAAUAUCAAUAACUAUCGAUAACGCGGAAAGCUUAAGCGCUCUAUGGAUAGCCGGCAGCUAUCGAUACUAUCGAUAAUUAUCGAUAGGUUUCCCAUCCCUAACAUCGAUAUGAUAUGAGUAACCCUGUUGAGCUUAUACAGUCGACACUGUCAAAGCAUUUUCUUGAUUUUCCUCAAAUUGGGAGCAGGACGGAGGUUACUGUUAAAACAACAAUAAUUAACACAUGUUUUGUGUUUGUAACGUUCAACAGAUUUUAAGUUUAGCAUCGCUAUAAAGUAGUUUCGGCCAGCUUAUAAAACUUAAAGCCUAGUCACAUGCUAUUUUUUAAAUUUUGGCGGUAUCGCAUAUCUCUGAAAUCUAAUUUACAGUUGUACACUUAUCGCUUACGUCACUUCUUUCGUAAUAUGGAAUGUACAGAUCUUCACCCUCCUACCGUUGUCAGAGGAAUGACCAUCCUCGAAAGAAAUUCUUUCAAAAAAUGUGCCAAAGUACCACACUUGACGGUUCCCGAAAACGAAGAUUUCAACAAAGUUUGCAAAAGCGUUAAAAAAUUUUUGUUAAAGAUGGAACAAUUUAAGCCAGUUAAAUCAGCCGAACGUAAAAUUGUGCUGCACCCACUGAUCAUGGAAAGCUGGGACGACUUUGAAAAAAAUGCACUAUUUGGAAAUCUAUUCAAAAACAACUUGACGUGGGAAAACAUUCAACUUGAGUAUGACAACUGGAAAUAUGACGAAGUACUGAGAGCAGUACUCCCAGAAGAUAAAGAUAUUUUAUCGUCAUUUUCGAAAGUUGGUCAUGUAGUACACUUGAAUUUGAAAGAUCAUUUGCUCGAGUAUAAGAAUCUCAUAGGAGAAGUCAUCAAAGACAAAGUACCUGGUUGCAGGACAGUCGUGAAUAAACUUGUCACAAUCGAUAAUACUUAUCGAAACUUUGAAAUGGAAGUGAUAGCUGGCGAGAAAGAUUUUGAAGUUACAGUUAAAGAGAAUGGAAAUACUUUUGAGUUCGAUUUUUCUAAGGUCUAUUGGAAUCCCAGGCUAUCUACUGAACAUGAAAAAAUAGUGAAAAUGCUCAAUCAAAGUGAUGUACUAGCGGAUGUGUACGCCGGAGUAGGACCAUUUAGUGUACCUGCUGCGAAGAAGGGGUGUACUGUUUUAGCGAAUGACUUGAACCCUGAUUCAUACAAAGCUUUAGUAAAAAACUGUAUUAAAAACAAAGUUCAAGCACACGCCACAUGCUUUAAUAAAGAUGCUAUUAAUUUUAUUCGAGAAGAACUUCGUCAACUAAUACUAGAGAAAAAUAAAGAUACCCAGUUCAGCGGAAAAAUUCACAUUACUAUGAAUCUACCAGCACUUGCAAUCGAACAUUUAGUUCAUUAUGUCGGUUUAUUCCAAGCAGAAACUCUAAAACUUGUUUCGCAUCCAAUAGUUCACUGUUAUUGCUUUGCCAAAGGAACAGAGGACAGUAAAACAAUUGCCCGUCAUAUGGUAGAAAGCAGCUUAGGUUUCAAAUUAGGCGACAAUUUACUAGAGAUUGCUUUUGUUAGAAAUGUAUCCCCAAACAAAGAUAUGAUGAGAGUCAGUUUCUGUUUGACGGAGGAAGUACUAUUUUGUGCAUCUUCAGGUGUAAAACGUUCAUUAGAAGGAAACAAAGAUAACCCCGAACAAACAUUGAAACGAAAUUGUAGCAAAUCGCAAAAAGACUAUGGGCAAGAAGAACAUAAAAAAUCGCAACCAGCAAAAGCAGAUUGCGAAGAAAGCUAAAAACGUAUUUGCAGUUUCACAAGCAAAGAAAAACAACGUGAAAAAGGCAAAAGAAGUCUCUGGUAAACUAAAAAAGAUUAAUGUUUAUGAAAAGCGAGAAAAAGCCGAUAAAAAUUUUCAGAACCUACACGCGCAGAUAGUUACAACGAAGAAGACUAAAAAAAUUCCAUCGAAGACGGUUGUUAAAAAGGACAAAGUACAGGCAAACACAAAGCAAGUGGAAGCUGAAUUGAAUAAGAUGCAAAUGUAGCAUACAAUAUAUAUUCAAUAAAUCUUCCCAUAUACGUUGGA
Wyeomyia smithii (pitcher-plant mosquito) is the source of this 2251-nucleotide RNA transcript. It is a transcript of the gene named tRNA (guanine(37)-N1)-methyltransferase, with no coding region annotated. Lineage: Eukaryota; Metazoa; Arthropoda; Insecta; Diptera; Culicidae. The record is from RefSeq and is a predicted model, not a curated record. The transcript has 5 exons.